UAACUAAAGAAAAUUUUCUGACACUUGAGC
RNAcentral lists this non-coding RNA (30 nucleotides) under Mus musculus (house mouse). The record is from RNAcentral. Lineage: Eukaryota; Metazoa; Chordata; Mammalia; Rodentia; Muridae.